RNAcentral lists this ribosomal RNA (465 nucleotides) under uncultured bacterium. Its description in RNAcentral is "partial 16S ribosomal RNA". It matches the Rfam family "Bacterial small subunit ribosomal RNA", at positions 338 to 795 of the family's 1533-position model. The record is from RNAcentral.
CCUACGGGUGGCGGCAGUGGGGAAUAUUGCGCAAUGGGCGAAAGCCUGACGCAGCGACGCCGCGUGAGGGAUGAAGGUCUUCGGAUCGUAAACCUCUGUCAGCAGGGAAGAACGGUCCCUGUGCUAAUCAGCAGUGAAUUGACGGUACCUGCAAAGGAAGCACCGGCUAACUCCGUGCCAGCAGCCGCGGUAAUACGGAGGGGGCGAGCGUUAAUAGGAAUUACUGGGCGUAAAGGGCUCGUAGUCGGUAAGGCAAGUCACGGGUGAAAGCCCCGCGCUCAACGUGGGAAUUGCCUUUGAAACUGGGAAACUGGAGUGUGGGAGAGGAUAGUGGAAUUCCAGGUGUAGGAGUGAAAUCCGUAGAUAUCUGGAGGAACAUCAGUGGCGAAGGCGACUAGCUGGAACAUAACUGACGCGGAGGAGCGAAAGCGUGGGUAGCAAACAGGAUUAGAUACCCCAGUAGUC